This is a long non-coding RNA of Macaca mulatta (Rhesus monkey), 1473 nucleotides long. RefSeq lists it as uncharacterized. Lineage: Eukaryota; Metazoa; Chordata; Mammalia; Primates; Cercopithecidae. The record is from RefSeq and is a predicted model, not a curated record.
GGGCGGGGAACUGCUGGCUCCCUACGGUGAUCAGAGUAUCACAUAGUGCUGGCCGGAGCCUGGCUGCUAGCUGUACCAGCCGAUCAGAGCCAUAGGGGCUGGGCAGUCUUAUGGGGAGCAGGGACAUUGUGCCUUGCUUGGGUACCAAUCUCAGAGGCUCUAAGAGAAAGGCCACAGUGUGAGGUCCAUGGUUGAAAGGGGAGGGAGGAACAUCUCAUCUCAUUUCAAGCCUGUGGAUGUGAGGGGAGAGAGUGUGAGUUGCUGGUCCUAGAUCAGAGCCCUCUGUCCUGAGUGAGCAAAUAAAGUAACCCAAGAGAGGAUUGGAGCUUAUCCAGAAUCAUAGCAGGUAGGCAUGAUGGCGAGAGAAUGGAAAUCAGACCAAAUUCAGGACUUAAAGAGCAAGGGCCAGUCAGUUAACAGAAAUAGCUAGUAGUGGGUUUUAAGACAGGCAUGUGGGAAGUCUUCCAGUUAGCAGCCUCUGACGUAAAAGAUAUCAGAUACUGCCACUUCUGCUUCUCCAAGCCCCUGUGCAGGGAAACACCUCUGCACAAGCCAGGCUUUCUUCAGUACAGACGAGGAUCACCACAAAACCCAGUCAACCCCGGCACUAAGGGAUGGAGCAUGACACAACUUCACCGGAGAGCUUAGAAAGCUGGAGAGACCAUCCCUCUACCUCCAGAACACACACGUUCUGCCUCUAGCCUCCUGUCUCCUCACUUUGUGUGUGAACUCCUAGAGUCAAAGCAGUGUAUCUGUGACAGCAAGGACCUUGGAAUAAUCAACCCUGCCUCUGAGUUUCAUCUCUGCCAUUUACUAGUUGAGUCAUCUUGGGCAAGUCACUUCUCUGGGCCUCAGUAACCUCAUUCAUGAAAUAGGGAUAAUAUCUGCUUACCUCAUUUGGAGGUGGGGGUGAAGAUGAAAUGACGUGACGAAUAUGAACGUGGUUUGUAAGUACACAGUAGCAUUCAGUGGUAUGGUCGUUUCUUAGAGAUGACGGCAGAGCUUACAGCUGCGGAAGUAAAAAGGACUGAAACAUUUGGAUCCCAAGAAUAGACUGGAGGAGCCAGAAGCCAGCUUCCUCCCUCUCCCUGACUUGGUACUGGGAAACCUCAUUUGCUGGCUGGGAAUGACCUGGGGGCUGGAUGUGUGAGUGACUCAGAUCCUCCCAUCAAGCUCUGAAAGGGGCAACCCCAGGAAGGACCUGUGGUGGUCUUCGAAGAGAAAAACCUCCUUUUCUUGGGCUGAUGACAAAUGACAUUUCUCUGAAAUCAGGACUUGGGUUUCUUUCACUUCCUGCCCAAGGGGUCAAGGUCCCCGGAGGUUUCCCCUCUUUUCACACUUUAGAACUCUUCAAUCUGAGGAAGGGAUGAAGUCUGAAAGGCUCAAGUUUCUUUUUCUGUUUCUUAUUAUUCUAUUAUCCCUGAUCCUAUAGCAAAAUUUUCAUUUAUCCAAUAAAUAUUGAUGACAUAUUUA